RNAcentral lists this ribosomal RNA (466 nucleotides) under uncultured bacterium. RNAcentral's name for it is "partial 16S ribosomal RNA". It matches the Rfam family "Bacterial small subunit ribosomal RNA", at positions 28 to 507 of the family's 1533-position model. The record is from RNAcentral.
GAUGAACGCUGGCGGCGUGCUUAACACAUGCAAGUCGAACGAUGAAGCCCAGCUUGCUGGGCGGAUUAGUGGCGAACGGGUGAGUAACACGUGAGUAACCUGCCCUUGACUCUGGGAUAAGCCCGGGAAACUGGGUCUAAUACCGGAUAGGAGCGCCUGUCGCAUGACGGGUGCUGGAAAGAUCUUUCGGUCAUGGAUGGACUCGCGGCCUAUCAGCUUGUUGGUGAGGUAACGGCUCACCAAGGCGACGACGGGUAGCCGGCCUGAGAGGGUGACCGGCCACACUGGGACUGAGACACGGCCCAGACCCCUACGGGAGGCAGCAGUGGGGAAUAUUGCACAGUGGGCGAAAGCCUGAUGCAGCGACGCCGCGUGAGGGAUGACGGCCUUCGGGUUGUAAACCUCUUUCAGCAGGGAAGAAGCGAAAGUGACGGUACCUGCAGAAGAAGCACCGGCUAACUACGUG